Molecule: long non-coding RNA, 1381 nt
Filed under: Homo sapiens (human)
Lineage: Eukaryota; Metazoa; Chordata; Mammalia; Primates; Hominidae
Description: long non-coding RNA NONHSAT208285.1
Source: RNAcentral
CUCACAGUUUAGAAAAUUACUGUUUUCCCUUGGAGGCUCUUUCCUUUAUUACGCGGACCACUUUAAACUGUACAGUGGAUUCUGUGCUAACCAUAUCAAAGUACAGAAGGUUCUGGAGCGAGCUAAAACUGACAAAGCCUUCAAGGCUUUUCUGGACGCCCGGAACCCCACCAAGCAGCAUUCCUCCACGCUGGAGUCCUACCUCAUCAAGCCGGUUCAGAGAGUGCUCAAGUACCCGCUGCUGCUCAAGGAGCUGGUGUCCCUGACGGACCAGGAGAGCGAGGAGCACUACCACCUGACGGAGCACUUCUCCCGGGAAAUACCCACACCCCGGCUUGGCAGAUUUUGCCGACAAUCUCAUCAAAGAGAGUGACAUCCUGAGCGAUGAAGAUGAUGACCACCGUCAGACUGUGAAGCAGGGCAGCCCUACUAAAGACAUCGAAAUUCAGUUCCAGAGACUGAGGAUUUCCGAGGACCCAGACGUUCACCCCGAGGCUGAGCAGCAGCCUGGCCCGGAGUCGGGUGAGGGUCAGAAAGGAGGAGAGCAGCCCAAACUGGUCCGGGGGCACUUCUGCCCCAUUAAACGAAAAGCCAACAGCACCAAGAGGGACAGAGGAACUUUGCUCAAGGCGCAGAUCCGUCACCAGUCCCUUGACAGUCAGUCUGAAAAUGCCACCAUCGACCUAAAUUCUGUUCUAGAGCGAGAAUUCAGUGUCCAGAGUUUAACAUCUGUUGUCAGUGAGGAGUGUUUUUAUGAAACAGAGAGCCACGGAAAAUCAUAGUAUGAUUCAAUCCAGAUAUGGGUUAAAUUCCUCAUUUUACUUUUAAACUGGUGGUAAAGUGGAAAUUGCAAAAAAAAAAAAAAAAAAAAACUGUUCAUUCCUGGGUUUUGUGCAGUAUACAUUUUCCCACAAAAUGGUUGUAAAGAUUUAAGUUAUUUUAAUUUAUUGUGGAUCAGAAACCUAGAUGAAACUGGUCAGAAUCUGUAAAUUACUUAGUUUAUAUCCACUUUGAGCAGGUAUCAAAUGAUUUAGGAUCCUUAAAAUUACAUUCUAAUAAUUAAGUUAUGUGGAAAAAGUAAGGCUGGGGAAGUCGUGAUUAAUAGUUUUCAAAGGGCCAUUUUUUAAAAUCCUCUGGGCAUUUUCUUUCAGCUGUUUGUUAGUUUUUGCUUUAUUUAAAGCAUAUUUAAGUUAUUUUAAUGUGGUUUAGGGGCAAAAUGUGCAGAUACUUCAUUUUUGUAAGAUAGAUUGUAAUAGAUGCUGUUUAUACUAAACAUGUCAUAACUAUCUAUACAGUAUAUAUUAAAAGAAAGCUUGUACUGUAUCUUAUUUGAUGAUAUUUAUUUUCUCUGCCAAGCUGUAUAGUAAAAGGAAAAUAAGUC